CAGGCACUAGUGCUGGGAGAUCUUUUCCA
RNAcentral lists this non-coding RNA (29 nucleotides) under Homo sapiens (human). Lineage: Eukaryota; Metazoa; Chordata; Mammalia; Primates; Hominidae. The record is from RNAcentral.